AUGGUGCACAUAAACUUUGGUGUCAUCACCCUGAUCCCCAAAGUAGUUGGGGCGAUGGACAUUCAACAAUUCAGGCCUAUCACAGUUAUCAACAUUCUUGGGCACAUUUUCUCUAAAGUAUGCGCGAGUAGACUCGCACCGGUUGCUGAGAGGAUGAAGCACCCACUUCAGACAACAUUCCUGAAGGGGAAACUGAUCCAUGACGGGAUUUUGUCCCUUCACGAGAUUGUCCAUGAGGUGCGAUCAUGCGGGCAUAAGGGUGUCUUUCUCAAGCUGGACUUCCAGAAAGCCUAUGAUCGGCUAGACUGGAUGUUCUUGCGGCUAGUCAUGUAG
This 333-nucleotide ribosomal RNA is filed under the name Triticum aestivum (bread wheat). Its description in RNAcentral is "partial small subunit ribosomal RNA". The record is from RNAcentral. Lineage: Eukaryota; Viridiplantae; Streptophyta; Magnoliopsida; Poales; Poaceae.